CUUCAGCCCUGAAUCUCUCUCUCUCCUCGACCUUGACAGACAUGAGGCGGUCCAUGGCCGCUUCCCCUUCUCGGGAGGCCACAGCAGC
Aspergillus fumigatus Af293 is the source of this 88-nucleotide non-coding RNA. The record is from the annotation of a RefSeq genome assembly. NCBI's taxonomy places the organism in Eukaryota, Fungi, Ascomycota, Eurotiomycetes, Eurotiales, Aspergillaceae.